UAAGGGCAAGUUUUUUACUAACACCACAAGGGUCUCUAGCCCAAUGAGUGGAGUUCGAUAGCAAUCCUUGCU
RNAcentral lists this small nucleolar RNA (72 nucleotides) under Pteropus vampyrus (large flying fox). The record is from RNAcentral. Lineage: Eukaryota; Metazoa; Chordata; Mammalia; Chiroptera; Pteropodidae.